RNAcentral lists this ribosomal RNA (585 nucleotides) under uncultured bacterium. RNAcentral's name for it is "bacterial SSU rRNA". It matches the Rfam family "Bacterial small subunit ribosomal RNA", at positions 340 to 916 of the family's 1533-position model. The record is from RNAcentral.
UACGGGAGGCAGCAGUGGGGAAUCUUCCGCAAUGGACGAAAGUCUGACGGAGCAACGCCGCGUGAGUGAAGAAGGUUUUCGGAUUGUAAAGCUCUGUCUUCGGGGAAGAACGCAGGGUAGGUAAAUAAUCUAUCCUGGUGACGGUACCUGAGGAGGAAGCCACGGCUAACUACGUGCCAGCAGCCGCGGUAAUACGUAGGUGGCAAGCGUUGUCCGGAAUUAUUGGGCGUAAAGGGCGCGCAGGCGGGAAAUCAAGUCUGUCUUAAAAGUGCCGGGCUCAACCCGGUGAGGGGAUGGAAACUGAUCAUCUUGAGUGCAGGAGAGGAAAGCGGAAUUCCCAGUGUAGCGGUGAAAUGCGUAGAUAUUGGGAGGAACACCAGUGGCGAAGGCGGCUUUCUGGACUGUAACUGACGCUGAGGCGCGAAAGCCAGGGGAGUGAACGGGAUUAGAUACCCCGGUAAUCCUGGCCGUAAACGAUGGGUACUAGGUGUAGAGGGUAUCGACCCCUUCUGUGCCGGAGUUAACGCAAUAAGUACCCCGCCUGGGGAGUACGGCCGCAAGGUUGAAACUCAAAGGAAUUGACGG